AGAUUAAUACCCCGUAAUAAAUUGAACGGCUAUCGUUUUGAUUUUGAAAAGCUCCGGGCGGUUUUGAGAUGAGUAUGCGUCUGAUUAGCUAGUUGGUGAGGUAACGGCUCACCAAGGCGACGAUCAGUAGGGGACCUGAGAGGACUAACCCCCACACUGGUACUGAGACACGGACCAGACUCCUACGGGAGGCAGCAGUAAGGAAUAUUGGUCAAUGGAGGCAACUCUGAACCAGCCAUGCCGCGUGCAGGAUGACGGCCUAUGGGUUGUAAACUGCUUUUAUACAAGAGAAAACCCUGGUACGUGUACCAAGUUGAUAGUAUUGUAAGAAUAAGCAUCGGCUAACUUCGUG
RNAcentral lists this ribosomal RNA (352 nucleotides) under uncultured bacterium. Its description in RNAcentral is "bacterial SSU rRNA". It matches the Rfam family "Bacterial small subunit ribosomal RNA", at positions 160 to 507 of the family's 1533-position model. The record is from RNAcentral.